RNAcentral lists this ribosomal RNA (405 nucleotides) under uncultured prokaryote. RNAcentral describes it as "bacterial SSU rRNA". It matches the Rfam family "Bacterial small subunit ribosomal RNA", at positions 355 to 776 of the family's 1533-position model. The record is from RNAcentral. RNAcentral also lists the same sequence under 1 other name.
UAGGGAAUUUUGCGCAAUGGGCGAAAGCCUGACGCAGCAACGCCGCGUGAUUGAUGAAGCCCUUCGGGGUGUAAAGAUCUGUCAGUGGGGACGAAAGAUGACGGUACCCACAGAGGAAGCACCGGCUAACUCCGUGCCAGCAGCCGCGGUAAUACGGGGGGUGCGAGCGUUGUCCGGAAUCAUUGGGCGUAAAGAGUUCGUAGGUGGUAUGUUAAGUCUGGUGUUAAAUCCUGAAGCUCAACUUCAGUUCGGCACUGGAUACUGGCAAACUUGAAUGCGGUAGAGGUAAAGGGAAUUCCUGGUGUAGCGGUGAAAUGCGUAGAUAUCAGGAGGAACAUCGGUGGCGUAAGCGCUUUACUGGGCCGUAAUUGACACUGAGGAACGAAAGCCGGGGUAGCAAAUGGG